CAGCAACAUCACGCGAAUACACCAAACCGAUUCCCCUUUUUCAUGACCCGCACCUGUUAACCCGUAACUCGGCAUCAGAACUCGCCGUCCCAAGCUCCAACCCAUCUGUUUCUUCUUCGUCGUGUGCCUUUCCACGCGAAUUCGUACGAGGAAAAUUUGAGAACCCUCUAGAAACAUGCUUAGGUAUCUCCCUUUAAUGGAUAUCUCCAUGAAUCGUGGAUUACUUGUACAAAUUCAUACGUAUUUGGCAAAUUUUUGUUGGUUCUUGGAGAAAGGAUCCAUUUUCCCCCCAAUUUCUAUUGUCUUUUCUUGGAGAAUCUGUGGAGGAUAAAAGAAAAGGAGUACAUUUGUUGGUGAAACCCUAAGCAGGAGGGAAAAAAUUCGAAUUUCAAAUCCAAAGAUAUCCUCUCUUUCAAGUCCCCAAAAAACCCCCAAUUCGGGUUCUAUAUAAAGACCCUUGGGGUCACUAUUUCGAAGGGUAUUUUCUCUUCUUUCAGGGAAUUUUUGGUUCGAAAGAGGGGGAAAAGAAGAAAUCUGGGGUACGGAAAAAUUUUGGUUGGGAGAAAAGAGGAGAGGCAGAAAAUUCUGAAAGCAAAAUAGUUUAUUUUUAGUGAAAAUUUACUCUUUUGUUCUUUUUUCUGAAGUUGGUCGAUUGAUCGGAAGCCCUUAAGUUGAUAACGCGGAUUUCCAGUGGUGGCGGAUUCCGACAACUAACUCGUUCUCCCCUUUUGCUGCCCUGAGAGAGGUAAAUAUCCUCAUUCCUCAUUUAAUUUUAUCGGCAUGUUUGUUCUUCAUCUUUUUUCUCUGUAGCGAUGAUUAUUUGGUUGAAUGAUGAACAUGAGGUCUAUUGUCGAAGCAAUGGUCUUUGUUUGAAUGAUGAACAUGAAGUUUGUUGUGGGGGCUGUGUAGUCUUCAUUGAACGAUAAAAGUGAAGGUCGGUUUGGAUGGUUGGCUGUAGAGGCUGUUGUAUGAUAAUAAUAGUAGUGAUGUUGUGUGUUCGUUGUAGAGGCCUUAAAGGCCAUAGUUUUUUUUUCUUUAGCAAAGAAGAACAUUCAGUUGUGUUAUUACGCUAGGCUAUUUCUUAUUUGAAUCUUAUGAUAUGUAGUUUCUGUCAUUAUUAUCCCGAUUUUAGAGCUCGUCAUCUAAUUUUGACAUUAUCAAGAAGUUUGCGAUCUGGAUCUUCAUCUUGUGUGCUGUCUUUACCUUUUUUCAUGGUCAAAAUUCAUGUCUUGAUUCGUGUUUAACACUUCUGCUUGACGUUUUGUCUUGUUUGGAGUGGAUAUAUAAUGUUUCUUGUCUAUUGUUAGUGUUGAGACACUGUCGUAACUAUUGAGCAGAUAGCGUCAUCGAUAGGACUACCUCUUGAGGUCCUUUGGAUUCUCAAAUGCCAAAAGGAUGAUGAGAAAACGUCCAACAGUAAAAUUAGAAAAAUCCCAUGAUUCUCCGAUGACCAUGUGACUGUCAAAAACUCAUUCUUGUGUUUGUCAGGAAGGAGAGAAGGAUAGAAAUACUAUGCCCCACCGCUUUGUUUUUAGCCUAUUGAUUGUACUCUUUCUGUUGAAGCUUUUGAAGUGUAAUUGUAUGUUAAAGAAUGCUGAAUCUGGGAACAAAUUUAAUCUCUUGUUAUACGUUUAAUGUCAAAAAUCGAUGAAGUUUAUACCCUCUUUUUCUUUGAGCAUGAUUCGUAUCACUUCCUACCUAGGUAAUGGUUUCGCGGUCUAAAACUUUUAAAGUUUUUGCAAGAUCAUGUUUUACGGAAUACUAGUGAUCGCCUUCAUCUAUAAGGACUAUUAUAGACCGACGAUCCAGACUUUCUGUGGCAUGGUGUUCGCAUUAGUAUUAAGCUUGUUGCUCCGAUCCGCAAAGAAUUUCGCUAAAAAUGUUCCUGUUGUUUUGUCCUCAUCACUAUCUUUAGCUAGUUUGGGAUUUAUUUUUUUUGGAUUAAAACUGUUUGGUUAAGCUGUAUUAUGAAAGAAUUAAUGACCAGAUUUAAGGUUCUUUCACUAGUGUUAUGAAAGAAUUAUUGUCCAGGUUUCUUUGGAUCAAAACUGCUUAAAUUACAUCAACUUGUGUUUCUUUAUGUUUAGGUAAUUGCUAUAUUAGAGAUACUGUUUCCUCCUUAUUUUAGUCAUCAAAGAUGUCUUUAUUUGUGUUAGUUUUAUUUACGAAAUUUUGGCCUAGAUGUGACAAUGAAUGCUAAAUUUUUCUCAUGUCUUCUGUCAACCUAUAGGACAACCUUGAGCAUGAAAAUAAUCUUUUUAAUUGCUAUUUGCAGCUUACGAUGAUGUAUGAUUAGUUAUACCAAUUCCAAACGGUCUAGUGCAGAGUCUUAAUCCUUUUCCCUUUAUUUUUGGAUGCAUGUGAAUGUGUUACGUCUGAGUUCACCAUGAACUCUCAAUUGCAUUUUACUCAUCGAUUCAAUCCCUAGCGGGAGACCAAAUAUCGACCUCGUGGCAUAUCUAAACCAAGGAGUCGAAAGAAGAAGAAAUGGGUUAAAGUCCACAUUUGAAGCGGCCAAGAGACUUGAAAGUCUCGGUUUCCAUUUCAUUCAUUUAUUUAGUCAUUUAUUAUUGUUGUAUUUAUUUAUUUA
This 2590-nucleotide long non-coding RNA is filed under the name Capsicum annuum. Its description in RNAcentral is "long non-coding RNA (CANN_LNC007378)". The record is from RNAcentral. Lineage: Eukaryota; Viridiplantae; Streptophyta; Magnoliopsida; Solanales; Solanaceae.